CUUAAAGGGAAACGACUUUGGACUCACGUAGGCAUAGGAGAACGAAACUUCUGUACAUUUUAAUCUGAAUAAUUCUUCAGGAUUUAACAUUAAUUGGCUCUGGCUUGGUUGGACCUUACUCGGAUCUCGCCACCUCUGCGUUUCCCGAGUCACUGGCGAAGAGGUCCCGGUUCCUCUGGGAAUCGUCCUGUAUGCAACAUCUUCACAAGGGUGGCAGGCAGUUGAAUCUCUGGACUUCGUGAGACCACUGGACAUUUGGCAGAGAACCAGGAAGCCACGGUUCCCUUCUGUGAGUCCCUCAGCCGGAAAACUACAAGCUCCUGAUGCAGCUGCUGUCUGCAGACCCCCUAGACUGCCUGGGGAAGUGAGUCGGAGCUCCUGCAGCAGAGGGGUGGAACAGCUACACGAAGAUCCGAAGGUGGCCAAAAAUAACAGCGCUUUCCAGAUGAGGGAGCCAGUUGUCCAGCACAGUGUCAUGGGACAGUGGGUCCUGGUGCCACAAUGCCCGGCAUCUCCACCAGAUACAGCUUUGAGAUCUUCAUGAUGAAGCUUGCUCCAAUCCAAGGGCUGCCAGAUGGAGUUUGCUGUUCAGCUGCUAACCUUUCUUUGAUCCAAAUCCUGUGUUCACUGGCUUCAAGAAUCCUGUCUUCAUUGGCUUCAAGAAUCCUGUCUUCAUUGGCUUCAAAACUGGGAUGAAGGAGGCUCCUUAGUGGAGAGCAAACCAAAGAGAAACUCAAAUUGGAUUCAUAUUAAAGAAGAGAAGGAUGGAUUUGUUGAGACAACACAAACCCAGGAAGGGUUUGAGGGGUGAAACAAACUGGGUUAUGGAUGAACAGCGGGCAAUUGGAAUGUAGAACUGAAACAGCAAUUAACAUCUUGGUAAGUUACCCACCAUAAAAUGCUUUAGAGCAAGAUAGAUUUUUGUUUUUCUUUUUUUUUCUUCUAUUUCUUCUUUUCUAUAUUUUUUCUAUCUUGUCAUGUAGGACACCCUUUUUUUUACUCUAAUUUUGAGAUCCUCGUGGAUGAAAACAAAACAAAUAUUAAAAUAUUGCAUAGGAAGAACACAAAUAGCUUUGAUAAUGCACCAACUGCAAGUGGAUUCACUGGCUCUGUGUCAGCUGGUUCAUGUAGGAAGCUGAAGAAUAUUUUCUUGCCAACGUUUUGGCAAGAGUUAUUUUUUGCCGGGGGGUGGCCGCAAGGGUGCAAUCCAAUAAUGAUAAUAAAAAAAAGACUGUAUAACCAUUGUGUAGGACGUGCUUCAGCCACCCUACAGCCGAGAGUGAGUUGGUCUUCCACAAGUCACUGGGGGAGAUGAAGGAUACACUGUAGUCAGUUGGAGUCUCUUUGGGCCUAAAAUCACUAUAGGACACUUUUCCAAAGUACCCUGAUGUCUUCACUGAUCCUGAGUGCUGGCACUUGCACUUUGUCACCACAUCCAUCCCAGAGCUGCCCCAGUGGCUAGAGGCCUCUUGAAUAUCAGCAUCAUGCUCUCCCCCAACCUGGGGGAUUCGUUUUCCUCCCCUGCAGUAGACAUUUGCAUGGAAGGUUAAUCCACAGUUAGGAGUUGCUUAACUCAAGCCUCAGAAAGCAUACACUGCAUCUUUAAGAAAUAGUUUACUUGUGAAUCAGUAAACGUACUAGACAAAGCAGCCAUUACUUAUGCAUUCCUGCAUAUCCAGCAAGGUGAAAAUAAUAGAAUAAACAUCAUAUACUUCAUUAUGAUAUCGGUUUACACUUCCAGGGUACACAAAAAGGGGCCAUUUCAUCAAGCUAAUUGCCUGAAAGUAAAAGAGAGAGAACUUUAGCUAUUAGUCUAUUAUGGGGCUUUUUUCUUAAUCACAAAUAGGGGCCGUGUGUCCCUGGGGGGAUGUGUAUUCUAAUUUACAAUUGAACUACAGAUCAGAGCAAUCAAUCUUGGGCAGCACUUUUACAGUGUAAUUGCUGCAACAUAACAAAU
Molecule: non-coding RNA, 1957 nt
Filed under: Pongo abelii (Sumatran orangutan)
Lineage: Eukaryota; Metazoa; Chordata; Mammalia; Primates; Hominidae
Source: RNAcentral